Molecule: long non-coding RNA, 739 nt
Organism: Macadamia integrifolia
Lineage: Eukaryota; Viridiplantae; Streptophyta; Magnoliopsida; Proteales; Proteaceae
Exons: 4
Source: RefSeq, a predicted model, not a curated record
UUUCCCCCAAAACUCGAAGAUCUAUUCUCUUCUCCACAAGAAAAUAAAAUAAAAUAAAUAGAGGGAUAUUUUCUCUUUUUAGAUUAUCCAAGUCUUCACUAUUAGCCAUCAAAGGAUGUAAAAGAUAUUGGAGGAUUGUUGAGCGCAAAAGAAGCUUGAAGUUGCAAGCCAUAGGUUUGAUUCAGAUAUGCCUCAAAUGGCAAGCCAUAGGAGCAAUUAUAUAGUUUAAGCAAGAAGAAUCGCUCUCAAAGAUGUAACGUCGUAGCAACGUAGAGAAAUUCAAGUUCCAAGAUGAUGUUUCUUGCCUCAUGGAUAUUAUAAUUUUUGAGAGAGCUAUCUCCAAUGCUUCUGAUGUAUGAAAAAUUUACUAAACCGUUUAUUACACGCAUUGGAUAAGAUUAGGUUCCUUUUACGCACAAAUAAGGAGAUUUUCGUUGAAGGUGCACAAAGCUUAAGAUCCUGACAUGCAGGCAGCGGUGAAGGAGUCCGCAACCACCAAAUCCUCUCUUGACCCUCCUAUAGCUGAAGCUAAAGUGAAUAUCUGUGGGGUUCAUUGUGCCCAAGGAUGCCCAAAUGAUGGUGAAUGCAUGGGCUAUUGAGGGAGAUACCACCACAUGCCUAAAGGAAGUUGUGUUUAUGAUGCCUGAAGGAAGUUAUUUUGGUUCUGAGAAGAUUGGUGAUAUCUGUGAAGGUUUUUGUUGUCAAUAUUGUUCUCCUUAUUUUUAUAAUAAAAUUUAUA